GGGAGAGUGGUGGAAUGGUAGACACGGUAGACUCAAAAUCUGCUGCCAGCACUGGCGUAAGGGUUCGAGUCCCUUCUCUCCUACCC
This 86-nucleotide transfer RNA is filed under the name Pseudomonadaceae bacterium. RNAcentral describes it as "tRNA-Leu". It matches the Rfam family "tRNA". Rfam says of the family: Transfer RNA (tRNA) molecules are approximately 80 nucleotides in length. Their secondary structure includes four short double-helical elements and three loops (D, anti-codon, and T loops). The record is from RNAcentral. RNAcentral also lists the same sequence under 1 other name. Lineage: Bacteria; Pseudomonadati; Pseudomonadota; Gammaproteobacteria; Pseudomonadales; Pseudomonadaceae.